GUUAUUAUUUAUUUACUUGUUCACUUGAAUUAUCUUCUCCAUAGUUGAUGAUCUCAUAGCAGUUUAUAUGUCAAUACUAAAUAGCCAGUUGCAGACUAUGAAUGUGCCUCUAAAAAUAUUUGAUCGAUGGAAGACCUUCUAGAGUUAUAAUGAGAUUGUCCCAAAAUGGUCUAAAGCUUGCUGUAAGAUUUACCCUAUUUUAUCAUGAAAAGAAUAGACUUCAUGUAAUGGAUCAACUGAAACAUGAGAUUUAAGCAAUGGAUUUAUCAUGAAAAGAUAUAACUGGGCUUUGUUUGUCAAAGAUCGUCAUUGGUUGAGAGAGUGAAGUCUAUUCAUGUUUAUGUAUCUGUGCAUGGGGCAUA
RNAcentral lists this unclassified non-coding RNA (362 nucleotides) under Hevea brasiliensis (rubber tree). Lineage: Eukaryota; Viridiplantae; Streptophyta; Magnoliopsida; Malpighiales; Euphorbiaceae. The record is from RNAcentral.